UAAGGAAUAUUGGUCAAUGGACGCAAGUCUGAACCAGCCAUGCCGCGUGAAGGAUGAAGGUCCUCUGGAUUGUAAACUUCUUUUAUCUGGGACGAAAACGGGAUUUUUAUCUCAAUUGACGGUACCAGAGGAAUAAGCACCGGCUAACUCCGUGCCAGCAGCCGCGGUAAUACGGAGGGUGCGAGCGUUAUCCGGAUUUACUGGGUUUAAAGGGUGCGUAGGUGGGCUUAUAAGUCAGUGGUGAAAUCUCCGAGCUUAACUUGGAAACUGCCGUUGAUACUAUAGGUCUUGAAUUAUCUGGAGGUAUGCGGAAUAUGUCAUGUAGCGGUGAAAUGCUUAGAUAUGACAUAGAACACCAAUUGCGAAGGCAGCUUACUACAUAUAAAUUGACGCUGAGGCACGAAAGCGUGGGGAUCAAACA
RNAcentral lists this ribosomal RNA (421 nucleotides) under uncultured bacterium. Its description in RNAcentral is "bacterial SSU rRNA". It matches the Rfam family "Bacterial small subunit ribosomal RNA", at positions 355 to 774 of the family's 1533-position model. The record is from RNAcentral.